UUUAUGUGUGCUUUUAUAUCACAUUACAGCAAUCAUUAAACUUUUAUGUAUGAGAGGAAAACAAAGAGUGCAACAGGUCGAGGUUCAGUAAACCCGGAACCACACGAGCUUCAAAAAACAACCAAAUCAAAAGCAACACACCAGUUAUGGAGAGGACUCAAAAAUAUCAACGAAAUACUGAAUACUAGGAAUUUCAAGUCUUAGAUGAGCCAUCACACAAGGGUUGCGUACAGUUGUGAACUGAAGAAGAGAAGCUACAUGGAAAGUUUCCUGACUGGUAUUGUGAACUUUAUGGUGAAUAAAUGAGGAGGUCCUUAUAUGGCA
This 324-nucleotide long non-coding RNA is filed under the name Dromaius novaehollandiae (emu). RNAcentral's name for it is "lncRNA (ENSDNVG00000007503.1)". The record is from RNAcentral. Lineage: Eukaryota; Metazoa; Chordata; Aves; Casuariiformes; Dromaiidae.